Molecule: ribosomal RNA, 253 nt
Filed under: uncultured bacterium
Lineage: Bacteria
Description: partial 16S ribosomal RNA
Rfam family: Bacterial small subunit ribosomal RNA
Source: RNAcentral
UACGGGGGGAGCAAGCGUUGUCCGGAAUCAUUGGGCGUAAAGAGCGUGUAGGCGGCCCGAUAAGUCCGCCGUGAAAGUCCAGGGCUCAACCCUGGAAUGCCGGUGGAAACUGUCGGGCUGGAGUCCGGAAGAGGCGAGUGGAAUUCCUGGUGUAGCGGUGAAAUGCGCAGAUAUCAGGAGGAACACCAAUGGCGAAGGCAGCACUCUGGGACGUGACUGACGCUGAGACGCGAAAGCGUGGGGAGCAAACAGG